RNAcentral lists this ribosomal RNA (847 nucleotides) under uncultured bacterium. RNAcentral's name for it is "bacterial SSU rRNA". It matches the Rfam family "Bacterial small subunit ribosomal RNA", at positions 541 to 1398 of the family's 1533-position model. The record is from RNAcentral.
GUAUCCGGAUUUAUUGGGUUUAAGGGUCCGUAGGCGGGCCGAUAAGUCAGUGGCGAAAUCCCGCAGCUUAACUGUGAAACUGCCAUUGAUACUGUCGGUCUGAGUAAAUUGAAGUGGCUGGAAUAAGUAGUGUAGCGGUGAAAUGCAUAGAUAUUACUUAGAACACCAAUUGCGAAGGCAGGUCACUAAGAUUUAACUGACGCUGAGGGACGAAAGCGUGGGGAGCGAACAGGAUUAGAUACCCUGGUAGUCCACGCCGUAAACGAUGCUAACUCGUUUUUGGAUUUUCGGAUUCAGAGACCAAGCGAAAGUGAUAAGUUAGCCACCUGGGGAGUACGAUCGCAAGAUUGAAACUCAAAGGAAUUGACGGGGGCCCGCACAAGCGGUGGAUUAUGUGGUUUAAUUCGAUGAUACGCGAGGAACCUUACCAAGACUUAAAUGGGAAUUGACAGAUUUAGAAAUAGAUCCUCCUUCGGGCAAUUUUCAAGGUGCUGCAUGGUUGUCGUCAGCUCGUGCCGUGAGGUGUUAGGUUAAGUCCUGCAACGAGCGCAACCCCUGUCACUAGUUGCUAACAUUAAGUUGAGGACUCUAGUGAGACUGCCUACGCAAGUAGAGAGGAAGGUGGGGAUGACGUCAAAUCAUCACGGCCCUUACGUCUUGGGCCACACACGUAAUACAAUGGCCGGUACAGAGGGCAGCUACACAGCGAUGUGAUGCAAAUCUCGAAAGCCGGUCUCAGUUCGGAUUGGAGUCUGCAACUCGACUCUAUGAAGCUGGAAUCGCUAGUAAUCGCGCAUCAGCCAUGGCGCGGUGAAUACGUUCCCGGGCCGUGCACACACCGCCCGUC